GACGAACGCUGGCGGCGUGCUUAACACAUGCAAGUCGAACGGAAAGGCCCUGCUUUUGUGGGGUGCUCGAGUGGCGAACGGGUGUGUAACACGUGAGUACUCUGCCCUUGACUUUGGGAUAACUUCAGGAAACUGGGGCUAAUACGGGAUAGGAGCUCCUGCUGCAUGGUGGGGGUUGGAAAGGUUCGGCGGUUGGGGAUGGACUCGCGGCUUAUCAGCUUGUUGGUGGGGUAGUGGCUUACCAAGGCUUUGACGGGUAGCCGGCCUGAGAGGGUGACCGGCCACAUUGGGACUGAGAGACGGCCCAGACUCCUACGGGAGGCAGCAGUGGGGAAUAUUGCACAAUGGGCGGAAGCCUGAUGCAGCAACGCCGCGUGCGGGAUGACGGCCUUCUGGUUGUAAACCGCUUUCGCCUGUGACGAAGCGUGAGUGACGGUAAUGGGUAAAGAAGCACCGGCUAACUACGUG
Molecule: ribosomal RNA, 468 nt
Filed under: uncultured bacterium
Lineage: Bacteria
Description: partial 16S ribosomal RNA
Rfam family: Bacterial small subunit ribosomal RNA
Source: RNAcentral